GACGAACGCUGGCGGCGUGCUUAACACAUGCGAGUCGAACGGAAAGACCCUGCUUUUGUGGGGUGCUCGAGUGGCGAACGGGUGAGUAACACGUGAGUAACCUGCCCUUGACUUUGGGAUAACUUCAGGAAACUGGGGCUAAUACCGGAUAGGAGCUCCUGCUGCAUGGUGGGGGUUGGAAAGUUUCGGCGGUUGGGGAUGGACUCGCGGCGUAUCAGCUUGUUGGUGGGGUAGUGGCCUACCAAGGCUUCGAUGCGUAGCUGGUCUGAGAGGGUGAGCAGCCACACUGGGACUGAGACACGGCCCAGACUCCUACGGGAGGCAGCAGUAGGGAAUAUUGGACCAUGGGCGAAAGCCUGAUCCAGCAAUGCCGCGUGAGUGAUGAAGGCCUUAGGGUUGUAAAGCUCUUUUACCCGGGAUGAUAAUGACAGUACCGGGAGAAUAAGCGCCGGCUAACUCCGUG
RNAcentral lists this ribosomal RNA (463 nucleotides) under uncultured bacterium. Its description in RNAcentral is "partial 16S ribosomal RNA". It matches the Rfam family "Bacterial small subunit ribosomal RNA", at positions 28 to 507 of the family's 1533-position model. The record is from RNAcentral.